This 391-nucleotide unclassified non-coding RNA is filed under the name soil metagenome. RNAcentral describes it as "partial contains 5.8S ribosomal RNA, internal transcribed spacer 2, and large subunit ribosomal RNA". The stretch from base 1 to 122 matches the Rfam family "5.8S ribosomal RNA", at positions 35 to 154 of the family's 154-position model. The record is from RNAcentral.
GAUGAAGAACGUAGCGAUAUGCGAUACUUGGUGUGAAUUGCAGAAUCCCGUGAACCAUCGAGUCUUUGAACGCAAGUUGCGCCCGAAGCCAUUAGGCCGAGGGCACGCCUGCCUGGGCGUCACACGUCGUUGCCCCCCCAUCUACUCCUUCGGGAUUGCGGGGGGCGGAUGAUGGCCUCCCGUGCGCCUCGUCGCGCGGUUGGCAUAAAUGCCAAGUCCUCGGCGACGCACGCCACGACAAUCGGUGGUUGCGAAACCUCGGUUGCCCGUCGUGUGCGGUCGUCGCGCAUCGAGGGCUCGAAAAAAUUGCCGGGCUCCGGCUCGGCUUUCAACGCGACCCCAGGUCAGGCGGGGUUACCCGCUGAAUUUAAGCAUAUCAAUAAGCGGAGGA